Molecule: ribosomal RNA, 826 nt
Filed under: Lecanora strobilina
Lineage: Eukaryota; Fungi; Ascomycota; Lecanoromycetes; Lecanorales; Lecanoraceae
Description: SSU rRNA
Rfam family: Bacterial small subunit ribosomal RNA
Source: RNAcentral
AAUAGCCUAACGGCUGAACCAGCAACUUGGAGGAAUGUAUAGCGAUAGCUAAUUGUAUUUAAACAUAAUGGAUACAAUAUUGACUAUGUCAAAUAAAAUUCUAGGCAGAAUUAUGAUAAUGACAUUGUCUGCCUAUGUGUCUUGACCAAAUUACGUGCCAGCAGUCGCGGUAAUACGUAGAAGACUAGUGUUAUUCAUCUUUAAUAGGUUUAAAGGGUACCUAGACGGUAAAUCAAGCCUAAAAAGGGGACUAAUUUACUAGAGUUACUUGUGAGGGGGCACUAAAGUACUGAUGGUGUAGAGAUAGAAUUCUGUAAUACCUUUUUCGUAAAGAAAGCAAUGGCACAGGUAUAGGCGAAAGCAUCCCCUUAUGUGAUAACUGACGUUGAAGGACGAAGGCUUUGUGCAGCGAACAGGAUUAGAUACCCUAGUAGUCGAAGCAGAAAAUGAUGAAUGUCAUAGAUUAGACAUAUAAGUUUAUUCUAUAAAUGAAAGUGUAAGCAUUCCACCUCAAGAGUAAUAUGGCAACAUUGGAACUGAAAUCAUUAGACCGUUUCUGAAACCAGUAGUGAAGUAUGUUGUUUAAUUUGAUGAUCCGCAAAAAACCUUACCACAACUUGAAUAUUUAUAGAUAUACCUUUUUACUAAUAAAAAGAUUAUAGAUAUAUUUACAAGCGUUGCACGGCUGUCUUCAGUUAAUGUCGCGAGACUUUGGUUAGUUCCAUUAAAUUAACGCAAACCCUUGCUUUAUUUUUACAUAAAGUAGUUCCCCACUAGAUUGGACAAGAUAACAGGGACUAAGACAAGUCAUCAUGGCCUUAAUGUU